UGGGGAAUAUUGGACAAUGGGGGAAACCCUGAUCCAGCAAUGCCGCGUGGGUGAAGAAGGCCUGCGGGUUGUAAAGCCCUUUCGGUGAGGACAAAACGCGACGUGCUAAUACCACGUUGUUUUGAUUUAACUCACUAAAGAAGCACCGGCUAACUCUGUGCCAGCAGCCGCGGUAAUACAGAGGGUGCAAGCGUUAAUCGGAAUUACUGGGCGUAAAGCGCACGUAGGUGGCUGGGUAAGUUGGAUGUGAAAUCCCCGGGCUUAACUUGGGAAUUGCAUUCAAGACUGCCUUGCUAGAGUGUGGAAGAGGGAAGCGGAAUUCCAGGUGUAGCGGUGAAAUGCGUAGAUAUCUGGAGGAACAUCAGUGGCGAAGGCGGCUUCCUGGUCCAACACUGACACUGAGGUGCGAAAGCGUGGGGAGCAAAC
This 426-nucleotide ribosomal RNA is filed under the name uncultured bacterium. RNAcentral describes it as "bacterial SSU rRNA". It matches the Rfam family "Bacterial small subunit ribosomal RNA", at positions 355 to 773 of the family's 1533-position model. The record is from RNAcentral.